RNAcentral lists this microRNA precursor (234 nucleotides) under Marmota monax (woodchuck). The record is from RNAcentral. Lineage: Eukaryota; Metazoa; Chordata; Mammalia; Rodentia; Sciuridae.
ACCAUGUGAUAGGCAAGGAAGACUUAUUACAUUACUUUUUCUUUCAAAAAAAAAAAAAAACAAACAAACAAACAAAAAACCCCCCACUUCCCAUGUAAGUCUCUUUUAGCUACAUCAAUCCUCCACUUCUGUGCUCCCAGAGGACUGUACAGCCUCUAGAGAAACUGCCACAUUAUAUCACUGUAUUUCAAUUAGUUGAUGACAUUGGGUCUUCUCUGCUACAUUGUGUGGUCU